AUGCUGGAGGUAUCAGAAGUGCGAAUGCUGACAUAAGUAACGAUAAAGCGGGUGAAAAGCCCGCUCGCCGGAAGACCAAGGGUUCCUGUCCAACGUUAAUCGGGGCAGGGUGAGUCGACCCCUAAGGCGAGGCCGAAAGGCGUAGUCGAUGGGAAACAGGUUAAUAUUCCUGUACUUGGUGUUACUGCGAAGGGGGGACGGAGAAGGCUAUGUUGGCCGGGCGACGGUUGUCCCGGUUUAAGCGUGUAGGCUGGUUUUCCAGGCAAAUCCGGAAAAUCAAGGCUGAGGCGUGAUGACGAGGCACUACGGUGCUGAAGCAACAAAUGCCCUGCUUCCAGGAAAAGCCUCUAAGCAUCAGGUAACAUCAAAUCGUACCCCAAACCGACACAGGUGGUCAGGUAGAGAAUACCAAGGCGCUUGAGAGAACUCGGGUGAAGGAACUAGGCAAAAUGGUGCCGUAACUUCGGGAGAAGGCACGCUGAUACGUAGGUGAAGUCCCUUGCGGAUGGAGCUGAAAUCAGUCGAAGAUACCAGCUGGCUGCAACUGUUUAUUAAAAACACAGCACUGUGCAAACACGAAAGUGGACGUAUACGGUGUGACGCCUGCCCGGUGCCGGAAGGUUAAUUGAUGGGGUUAGCGGUAACGCGAAGCUCUUGAUCGAAGCCCCGGUAAACGGCGGCCGUAACUAUAACGGUCCUAAGGUAGCGAAAUUCCUUGUCGGGUAAGUUCCGACCUGCACGAAUGGCGUAAUGAUGGCCAGGCUGUCUCCACCCGAGACUCAGUGAAAUUGAACUCGCUGUGAAGAUGCAGUGUACCCGCGGCAAGACGGAAAGACCCCGUGAACCUUUACUAUAGCUUGACACUGAACAUUGAGCCUUGAUGUGUAGGAUAGGUGGGAGGCUUUGAAGUGUGGACGCCAGUCUGCAUGGAGCCGACCUUGAAAUACCACCCUUUAAUGUUUGAUGUUCUAACGUUGGCCCGUUAUCCGGGUUGCGGACAGUGUCUGGUGGGUAGUUUGACUGGGGCGGUCUCCUCCUAAAGAGUAACGGAGGAGCACGAAGGUUGGCUAAUCCUGGUCGGACAUCAGGAGGUUAGUGCAAUGGCAUAAGCCAGCUUGACUGCGAGCGUGACGGCGCGAGCAGGUGCGAAAGCAGGUCAUAGUGAUCCGGUGGUUCUGAAUGGAAGGGCCAUCGCUCAACGGAUAAAAGGUACUCCGGGGAUAACAGGCUGAUACCGCCCAAGAGUUCAUAUCGACGGCGGUGUUUGGCACCUCGAUGUCGGCUCAUCACAUCCUGGGGCUGAAGUAGGUCCCAAGGGUAUGGCUGUUCGCCAUUUAAAGUGGUACGCGAGCUGGGUUUAGAACGUCGUGAGACAGUUCGGUCCCUAUCUGCCGUGGGCGCUGGAGAACUGAGGGGGGCUGCUCCUAGUACGAGAGGACCGGAGUGGACGCAUCACUGGUGUUCGGGUUGUCAUGCCAAUGGCACUGCCCGGUAGCUAAAUGCGGAAGAGAUAAGUGCUGAAAGCAUCUAAGCACGAAACUUGCCCCGAGAUGAGUUCUCCCUGACUCCCUGAGAGUCCUGAAGGAACGUUGAAGACGACGACGUUGAUAGGCCGGGUGUGUAAGCGCAGCGAUGCGUUGAGCUAACCGGUACUAAUGAACCGUGAGGCUUAACCUU
RNAcentral lists this ribosomal RNA (1677 nucleotides) under Escherichia coli. RNAcentral's name for it is "bacterial LSU rRNA". It matches the Rfam family "Bacterial large subunit ribosomal RNA", at positions 1270 to 2925 of the family's 2925-position model. Lineage: Bacteria; Pseudomonadati; Pseudomonadota; Gammaproteobacteria; Enterobacterales; Enterobacteriaceae. The record is from RNAcentral.